Molecule: long non-coding RNA, 1680 nt
Organism: Oreochromis niloticus (Nile tilapia)
Lineage: Eukaryota; Metazoa; Chordata; Actinopteri; Cichliformes; Cichlidae
Exons: 3
Source: RefSeq, a predicted model, not a curated record
UGUGUGAAUAUGGAUGUUUGUUGCCCUCUAGUGGCCAAGUUAAAUAUAACCACAUACUGUAAAUACCGCUUAAAAGCACAGGUGGCAAAUAUCACCAAUGUUUUGUCAUGCCUUCUUUUAUCUGUAGCAUGCAAAGAGGACACCUAUUCUGUUAUGUUGAAAGCUGUAACCUGUGACAUUGUGAAAUUAACUGUAACACUAAAUGAUGGGAUGCUGAUUUUUUUUUUCUUCUGAACACUAAGUGGGGGGAAAAGGCAUAAUCAGUUAUUCUUGGACUGUGUGGGCCAAUAAGAUUUAUAUCUAUAUCUGAUUUCUAUCAAUCAAAAGUAUAAUUCUGGUUAAGAAGCUGCUCUGGGGAACUAUUCCUAUUAUUCCCUGUAUUUUCCCUUAGUUUUAAUAAUUAUUAUGAUGGAAAUUUGUAAAAUCUUACAUUAUAACUAUGGCUAUAAAAUAACUUUCAAAAUUUCCAUAUGUUGCCAUUGUGGGUUAUAGUUUGUGGAAGAAAAAGCUGAGUGCGUAUGAUGUCAGAUUUCUUCAAUUAUGUGUUCAUGUGAAAAACGUUGUCAAGAUUAGUUAAAAGAAAAAACAGGUAUUUUUACUUCGGGUAGCAUUAAAAACACUAAUACUAACUGCCUUUAAAAGCCACCUUAUUUCCAGAAUUUUAGUUGCAUCUUUUUUUGCAGGCUUGUUUUGGUUAAACUCUCAGCUCAGCCCCCUUAAGCCAACAAAACAUUUUAAAACAAAGUCAGGAACCCCGGUAUCUUUUAAGCUAAAAACCCCCUGUAGUGAGUAUUUUGGAUGCAUUAGGGGACCUUUGUAAUGCUUAGUGGUUGAUUUAAAAGGUCAGUUAUCUGCAUAUUCAUUAGCAGGACAGCCAAACAAAAGAAUGGGAUGAAGGAAUUUAAAGAAUUAGCUACUUUAUAUACACUGAUGUAAAUAAACUGGGAAAUGAAAGGAGAAAGAGUGGCACAGAACUCAGUUGAACACACUGAAAAAAAAAGUAACAAAAUUAAAGUCGCUUCCUAAAUAACGUUCUCUCAACUUCCUGACUUUUUCCUUUCUUAAGCUUCUCACACACCGUCACUGUCAUGCCGCCUCCCCUCCUCCCUUACCUCCCUCCCUCCUGAGUCCCUCCAUCCCUUUUAAAGCGUAACCAUAUUUGACUGCAGCUCCUGCAGCAGCACACCUCCACAAACUCCACUCUCUCUCCUGUCAAAAUGCCAGACUUUGCCGACGCUGUGCCAGCACCAUGCCAGGUAAUCAAAGAGGACAUUGACAAAUGUAUCAGAGACAAGGGGAUGGAGACCUGUAAAGAUCUGAUGGAUGCCUUCCAGGCCUGUGUAAAAACUCUGUCUGAGGGGUCAUGAUGCACAGUGAGAUCCACUUAAAUUUAAAAAAAAAAGUAACUUUACCUUAGGUUCUGCACUUUCCCAUCUUCUUAUUGCAAUGGAAGGAACCAUCUGAAAACUGAAGAGGGGGGUGUUGCUUAUGAAUUUACCUCCAUACUUCUACUUAUUCUGUUAUAAUUGUUGUAAUUGUUAUACUCUAAUACUAAUUAGCUUACUGUGAAUAACAAGUUUGUAUUAUACCUUACAAUAAACUUUUUUCAACACACGGUAUAUUGUCUUUCUUUAUGGCAGCACAUUUUCUGUGUUCUUACAUUAUUAUAUGUUGGAGCCU